AUUGAACGCUGGCGGCAUGCCUUACACAUGCAAGUCGAACGGCAGCGGGGGAGAAGCUCGCUUUUCCUGCCGGCGAGUGGCGAACGGGUGAGUAAUACAUCGGAACGUGCCCUGUAGUGGGGGAUAACUAGUCGAAAGAUUAGCUAAUACCGCAUACGACCUGAGGGUGAAAGUGGGGGACCGCAAGGCCUCAUGCUAUAGGAGCGGCCGAUGUCUGAUUAGCUAGUUGGUGGGGUAAAGGCCUACCAAGGCGACGAUCAGUAGCUGGUCUGAGAGGACGAUCAGUCACACUGGGACUGAGACACGGCCCAGACUCCUACGGGAGGCAGCAGUGGGGAAUUUUGGACAAUGGGCGAAAGCCUGAUCCAGCAAUGCCGCGUGUGUGAAGAAGGCCUUCGGGUUGUAAAGCACUUUUGUCCGGAAAGAAAUGGCUCUGGUUAAUACCUGGGGUCGAUGACGGUACCGGAAGAAUAAGGACCGGCUAACUACGUGCCAGCAGCCGCGGUAA
This 508-nucleotide ribosomal RNA is filed under the name uncultured bacterium. Its description in RNAcentral is "partial 16S ribosomal RNA". It matches the Rfam family "Bacterial small subunit ribosomal RNA", at positions 30 to 523 of the family's 1533-position model. The record is from RNAcentral.